UGGGGAAUAUUGGGCAAUGGGCGAAAGCCUGACCCAGCGACGCCGCGUGAGGGAAGAAGGUUUUCGGAUUGUAAACCUCUGUCCUCGGGGAAGAUAAUGACGGUACCCGAGAAGAAAGCCACGGCUAACUACGUGCCAGCAGCCGCGGUAAAACGUAGGUGGCAAGCGUUGUCCGGAAUUACUGGGUGUAAAGGGAGCGCAGGCGGAAUGGCAAGUUGGACGUGAAAUCUAUGGGCUCAACCCAUAGCGUGCGUUCAAAACUGCUGUUCUUGAGUGAUGUAGAGGUAGGCGGAAUUCCCGGUGUAGCGGUGGAAUGCGUAGAUAUCGGGAGGAACACCAGUGGCGAAGGCGGCCUACUGGGCAUUUACUGACGCUGAGGCUCGAAAGUAUGGGGAGCAAA
RNAcentral lists this ribosomal RNA (400 nucleotides) under uncultured bacterium. RNAcentral's name for it is "bacterial SSU rRNA". It matches the Rfam family "Bacterial small subunit ribosomal RNA", at positions 355 to 772 of the family's 1533-position model. The record is from RNAcentral.